RNAcentral lists this ribosomal RNA (443 nucleotides) under uncultured bacterium. Its description in RNAcentral is "bacterial SSU rRNA". It matches the Rfam family "Bacterial small subunit ribosomal RNA", at positions 337 to 797 of the family's 1533-position model. The record is from RNAcentral.
UCCUACGGGGGGCUGCAGUGGGGAAUAUUGGACAAUGGGCGAAAGCCUGAUCCAGCAAUGCCGCGUGAGUGAAGAAGGCCUUAGGGUUGUAAAGCUCUUUUACCCGGGAUGAUAAUGACAGUACCGGGAGAAUAAGCUCCGGCUAACUCCGUGCCAGCAGCCGCGGUAAUACGGAGGGAGCUAGCGUUGUUCGGAAUCACUGGGCGUAAAGCGCACGUAGGCGGCUUUGUAAGUUAGAGGUGAAAGCCCGGGGCUCAACUCCGGAACUGCCUUUAAGACUGCAUCGCUUGAAUCUGGGAGAGGUAAGUGGAAUUCCGAGUGUAGAGGUGAAAUUCGUAGAUAUUCGGAAGAACACCAGUGGCGAAGGCGGCUUACUGGACCAGAAUUGACGCUGAGGUGCGAAAGCGUGGGGAGCAAACAGGAUUAGAUACCCGAGUAGUCGG